AUGAUUAGAGGAGCUGGGCUCCUUGCGAGCUCAACCUAUUCUCAAACUUUCAAUGGGUGAGACGUCUCGCUGGCUUCACUGCAGCGACGACUCUGAAUCCGAGUGCCCAGUGGGCCACUUUUGGUAAGCAGAACUGGCGAUGCGGGAUGAACCGCAUGUCGAGCUAAGGUGCCUAAGCGGACGCAAAUCAGAUACCAUGAAAGGUGUUGAUUGCUCACGACAGCAGGACGGUGGCCAUGGAAGUCGGCACCCGCUAAGGAGUGUGUAACAACUCACCUGCCGAAGCAAUCAGCCCUGAAAAUGGAUGGCGCUAAAGCGUUCCACCGAUGCUCGACCGUCGUCGGCAUGCGACGCGCUUGCCGCGUCUGAAGCCACGACGAGUAGGGCGGCGCAGUGGUGAGCGUUGAAGGCGUAGCCGUGAGGCUAGCUGGAGCCGCCAUUGGUGCAGAUCUUGGUGGUAGUAGCAAAUACACAAGCAAGAUCCUUGUGGACCGAUGUGGAGAAGGGUUCCGCGCGAACAGUACUUGGACGUGGGUGAGUCGGCCCUAAGCCAACGGGUAAUUCCCGCAUCCCGU
RNAcentral lists this ribosomal RNA (575 nucleotides) under Chthamalus panamensis. Its description in RNAcentral is "eukaryotic LSU rRNA". It matches the Rfam family "Eukaryotic large subunit ribosomal RNA", at positions 1017 to 1574 of the family's 3401-position model. The record is from RNAcentral. Lineage: Eukaryota; Metazoa; Arthropoda; Thecostraca; Balanomorpha; Chthamalidae.